GACGAACGCUGGCGGCGUGCUUAACACAUGCAAGUCGAACGGACAGGCCCUGCUCUUGUGGGUUGCUCGAUAGGCGAACGCGUGAGUAACACGUGUGUAUCCUGUCCUUGUCUGUGGGAUGACUUCUGGAAACUGGGGCUAAUACCGGAUAGGAUCUCCUGCUCCACGGUGGGGGUUGGAAAGUUUCGGCGGUUGGGGCUAGACUCGCGGCUUAUCAGCUUGUUGGUGGGGUAGUUGCAUACCAAGGCUAUGACGGGUAGGCGGCCUGAGAGGGUAGACGGCGACAAGGGGACUGCGAGAGGGCGCAGACUGGUACGGGAGGCAGCAGUGGAGAAUAUUGCAGAAUGGGCGGAAGCCUGAUGCAGCAACGCCGGGAGCGGGAUGACGGGCUUCGGGGUGUAAACCGCUGUCGCCGGAGACGAGGCGUGAGUGACGGUAAUGGGUAAAGAAGCAACGGCUAACUACGUG
This 468-nucleotide ribosomal RNA is filed under the name uncultured bacterium. RNAcentral's name for it is "partial 16S ribosomal RNA". It matches the Rfam family "Bacterial small subunit ribosomal RNA", at positions 28 to 507 of the family's 1533-position model. The record is from RNAcentral.